Molecule: small RNA, 180 nt
Filed under: Gopherus agassizii (Agassiz's desert tortoise)
Lineage: Eukaryota; Metazoa; Chordata; Testudines; Testudinidae
Description: TUC338 (ENSGAGG00000018618.1)
Source: RNAcentral
CUAACAGCCCCGAAGAUAGAUAUUCUCUUAUGUAACCUCAGAUCUGGUAGAUCAGAAGCAGCAAAACUUCCCCCACACUGCUCUGCCAUUGUGCCUCAAACUUGCUCGGAAGGGACUACCUCUAGUGAAUGGGAGUGGGAGUGUAAAUUAGUCUUCAUUCUCAUUAAACCCUUGGUCUAU